AGAGUUUGAUUCUGGCUCAGAACGAACGCUGGCAGCGUGGAUUAGGCAUGCAAGUCGAACGAGAAUCUUCGCGUUCAAUCUUUCGAGAGAGAACACGGGGAGGACAGUGGCGGAAGGGUGAGGAACACGUGGGUAAUCUGCCUCCGAGUCGGGAAUAACUCCGCGAAAGCGGGGCUAAUACCGGAUGUGGUGGUGCGGCGCCUGUCGCAUUGACCAAAGAUGGGGACCCUUCGGGGCCUGUCGCUGGGAGAGGAGCCCGCGUCCUAUCAGCUUGUUGGUGGAGUAAUGGCCCACCAAGGCUUACGGGUAGCUGGUCUGAGAGGAUGGUCAGCCACACUGGGACUGAGACACUGCCCAGACUCCUACGGGAGGCUGCAGUCGAGGAUCAUUCGCAAUGCGCGAAAGCGUGACGAUGCGACGCUGCGUGGAGGAUGACGGCCUUCGGGUUGUAAACUCCUGUCAUUUGGGGACAAUGGCGGGUGGGUGAAUAGUCCAUCCGUUUGAUAGUACCAGAAGAGGAAGCCACGGCUAACUCUGUGCCAGCAGCCGCGGUAAGACAGAGGUGGCAAGCGUUGUUCGGAUUUACUGGGCGUAAAGGGUGCGUAGGUGGUGUUGUGUGUCGGAUGUGAAAGCCCGCAGCUCAACUGCGGAACGGCAUUCGAAACUGCAGCACUAGAGUGCAGGAGAGGAGAGCGGAAUUCUUGGUGUAGCGGUGGAAUGCGUUGAUAUCAAGAAGAACACCGGUGGCGUAGGCGGCUCUCUGGAAUGCUACUGACACUGAGGCACGAAAGUCGGGGGAGCAAACAGGAUUAGAUACCCUGGUAGUCCCGACCGUAAACGGUGUACACUUGGUGUGGGGGGAAUUGACCCCCUCCGUGCCGGAGCUAACGCGUUAAGUGUACCGCCUGGGGAGUACGGCCGCAAGGCUAAAACUCAAAGAAAUUGACGGGGGCCCGCACAAGCGGAGGAGCAUGUGGCUUAAUUCGAUGCAACGCGAAGAACCUUACCAGGGCUUGACAUGUAGCUGCACGGCCGGUGAAAGUCGGUUUCCUUCGAGGGUGCUACACAGGUGCUGCAUGGCUGUCGUCAGUUCGUGCCGUGAGGUGUUGGGUUAAGUCCCGCAACGAACGCAACCCCUGUGGUUAGUUGCCACCGCCGGUGAUGAGCCGGCGAGCACUCUAACCAGACUGCCCGUGACAAGCGGGAGGAAGGUGGGGAUGACGUCAAGUCAGUAUGGCCCUUACGCCCUGGGCUGCACGCGUGCUACAAUGGUCGGUACAGAGGGACGCAAUGUCGCGAGGCGGAGCAAAUCCCCAAAACCGGCCCCAGUUCGGAUUGGAGUCUGCAACUCGACUCCAUGAAGUUGGAUUCGCUAGUAACGGCGUAUCAGCUACGGCGCCGUGAAUACGUUCCCGGGCCUUGUACACACCGCCCGUCACAUCAUGAAAGCUGUCUGCACCCGAAGUCGCUGAUCCAACCCGCAAGGGAGGAAGGCGCCGAAGGUGUGGGUAGUGAUUGGGAUGAAGUCGAAACAAGGUA
RNAcentral lists this ribosomal RNA (1539 nucleotides) under metagenome. RNAcentral describes it as "bacterial SSU rRNA". It matches the Rfam family "Bacterial small subunit ribosomal RNA". The record is from RNAcentral.